Molecule: small RNA, 879 nt
Filed under: Malus domestica (apple)
Lineage: Eukaryota; Viridiplantae; Streptophyta; Magnoliopsida; Rosales; Rosaceae
Description: sRNA MD06G0036400
Source: RNAcentral
AUCAGAUUUUUUUUUCUUCUUUUUUACCCAAUCAGAAAACCUCUCUCUCUCUCUCUCCCCCCGCUCUACCCAAUCAAAAGCUAUCUCUUGCUCACUCUCAUCUUCUCCUUCUCUUUCUCUCACCCGUAACUCUCUUAUCUGCAAUAAUAAAGACCAUCAUCAAACUCCAGAGAUCGAGCCUAAAACCACUACCAUCGAGAUCCUCUCAUCCUCACGAACACAUCUGUAUGAACCGAUCACGAAAUGGACAAGUUUUGAGUUUCCAACUUGGAGCUUCGACUCGGGUAGAGGUUCCCCGUCGAUUUCCAGCUCGAGUUACAAGGUUUUGGGAUUUUUGGGAGCACCUAGGCAACUCCUCGAGGCCAUUAACCUAGUUUUGAAGUGGAGCAGACAAGGAAACUCACGGUUUUGGGACGUCGAGUUUAGGUUCGAAGCUUUUGAGGCUUUUUCAGCCCUUUUCCGAGUUCUUUUUGGACUCUUAAAAGAAACCUGCGAAUCAGACGGCAACGUCGGCGUUGGCGAACGGCAGAAGACCAUCGAAAAAGAAGACCCAAUAUUUCGUCAAAGUUGACGCAAUAUUAUGAUGCCGUUAGGUAAUGCUGUUACCGUUUGCGGAAUAUUCCCUAGGUGAGGAAGCAUCCGGCCUCCGGCCGACAUGUGGUCAUCGUGUACGAGUCCGUGACUUUGUGUAGAACAUUUUCGUAUAUUUAAACCCUCCGUUUAAGCAAACUAUGGGGGUAUUUCCUAGCCUAUUUGUGUAUGUGUUAAUUAACUAAUUACUACAGUUAUUUCUAAGAGAAAAUUAUCCCGAGGACGUAUGAGGUCAAGUUGUCCAAAGGGUUAAUGUGGCAAAGAAGUGCAUUUUGGAGCAUUUUUUGG